RNAcentral lists this transfer RNA (76 nucleotides) under Limnobacter thiooxidans. RNAcentral describes it as "tRNA-Gly". It matches the Rfam family "tRNA". From Rfam's summary of the family: Transfer RNA (tRNA) molecules are approximately 80 nucleotides in length. Their secondary structure includes four short double-helical elements and three loops (D, anti-codon, and T loops). Further hydrogen bonds mediate the characteristic L-shaped molecular structure. tRNAs have two regions of fundamental functional importance: the anti-codon, which is responsible for specific mRNA codon recognition, and the 3' end, to which the tRNAs corresponding amino acid is attached (by aminoacyl-tRNA synthetases). tRNAs cope with the degeneracy of the genetic code in two manners: having more than one tRNA (with a specific anti-codon) for a particular amino acid; and 'wobble' base-pairing, i.e. permitting non-standard base-pairing at the 3rd anti-codon position. Lineage: Bacteria; Pseudomonadati; Pseudomonadota; Betaproteobacteria; Burkholderiales; Burkholderiaceae. The record is from RNAcentral. RNAcentral also lists the same sequence under 48 other names.
GCGGGAAUAGCUCAGUUGGUAGAGCGAUACCUUGCCAAGGUAUAGGUCGCGAGUUCGAGUCUCGUUUCCCGCUCCA